GCAGCAGCAGUGAGCAGCAGCAGCAGCAGCAGUCGAACGCGCAUACGCCAACAUAUAAACACACUUCUAGCCAUACGUAUACGACGUUACACUGCAUAUAUCGUACGAACAAAGUACAUGCACGUACGCAUAUCGAGCGAAUGUUUUUCGUCAACAUGCAUCGCGUCAACGCUGAUUAAUUAUGUUUUGUGUACGUAAUAUUCAGCGCAGUUGCCAAUCAACGAAGCAGCCAGCCUUGCUCGUCGCUCGCAUCCUCAGAGCCAGGUACUCGCGUCGCAGCGACAAGAGCACCAGCUCCUACAAGCUCGUCGCCUCGAGGAACGAUGCCCUUGACGAGACGGAGAAUAAUGCAAUUCUUGGUAUCGAUUCCAAUUGGGAGCUCCUGACACCCAGAGGAUUUCGUUUCUACUUACCGGGUAGCAUCGGUCCAGGAUGGCUAGAUGCAACAACAACGGCUCAAGUAGAAGUGCAGUCGGUUUUAGUGCCAAAUGAGAUAGAAGAUAUAGAAAUAGCAAGGUCAAAUGUAAAUAAAAGAAAAAAUAUACUGAAUGUUCCUGAAGUGUAUUCCGUGUUGCAUUGUCAUUCUCAAGAAUGUCCGACAUUGCUUCGAAAGGAUAUCUUAGAAUUAUUUCCAGGGUGCCUGGAAGUAGCUUCUCCACAAUUAACCAUAAUUACAAUCAGUCAAAAGACCAACAAUAAAAACUCAAGAUGGAGUAAAGAAUUGGAAACAGAAAGAUUAGCGCAAUAUUUUGUGCUUGCUGCAUCUGAUGUGUGUAAAAAAUUGAAAAUGUGCGGGUAUUGGGCAGAUUUUAUCAAUCCAUUCAGUGGUCAACCAUACUCAAAUCAGAAGAAUAAUGUAUUGUAUCAAACUGAUGAACGUUUUCGAUCAGUAGGUUUUAAAGUAGAAAAAAAACAAAACUGCAAAGUCAUAACACAUGAUAAUGAUUCACAGAAUUUUAUUGGUAAUCUCUAUACAACAGCUCCGGCAAACACAGAAUUUUUGAAAGAAAUUAUGAGUAACAUAAAUAAUAAAAUAGAAUGACAUAUGGAACAAAUAAUGUAAUUGUCUUUUUGGAAAAUAACCAUUGACUGGUAAAACGUUUGAACUAGGAAAAAAUCAUUAUUGUAAGAUUUACAUAUUAUCAGAUAACUCUACAGAGAACUGAUUAAAAUACCACUGUAAAAAUUCAAGUAUGAAUUGCAUCUGUACAGUCACUGUAAAAAUAUAAAAAAAAUAAAAUACUAUAUUAUAUUA
RNAcentral lists this unclassified non-coding RNA (1255 nucleotides) under Trichogramma pretiosum. RNAcentral describes it as "methylmalonic aciduria and homocystinuria type D homolog, mitochondrial, transcript variant X1". Lineage: Eukaryota; Metazoa; Arthropoda; Insecta; Hymenoptera; Trichogrammatidae. The record is from RNAcentral.